CUUACGUUCCAGGCAGGAACUUACAACAACGAGGAUGAUGAAAUUUUUCUCCACUCGACAAAUAUUUGCUGAGCACCCCCUCUGUGUCAGGGGCAGUUGGAAGUUUCCCAACUUUGCCUAACCAGCUGCACUGGAAUGUGGCCAUUCCCUCGAGGGAUCAUGGCCCAGAAGAAGCCCCCACCCCACACACCAUGGAAUCAACUCUACACGAGGCCCCAGAAGGUCUGCCGUCCAGGCCCUUCCAGUCGGGGCCUCAGCUGUCUCCUCUGAAAAAGGGAGCGAACUCAGCUCUGCCAUGCACAGGGUGGGUGUGAUGUCACAUGAGGUAAAGCUCAAAACAAUUUAUACCUUCAGAGGUUGUUCGCCCCUGAACUAAAUGGCCCCAACCGAUGUGUCUUUCCAGUACAUAGCCACGCUGAACAGAGGAGGAGAACUGAUGGGAUAACUUCUCUCACCCACCCAAGUAACACUUGAACAUGGAAUUUGGGCUAUUUCAACUAUGUAUCCUCAGUCAAAAGACAAAACAAAACAACAAAAGCCCUGGAAACAAA
Molecule: long non-coding RNA, 551 nt
Organism: Hipposideros armiger (great roundleaf bat)
Lineage: Eukaryota; Metazoa; Chordata; Mammalia; Chiroptera; Hipposideridae
Exons: 2
Source: RefSeq, a predicted model, not a curated record